UCUGCCUCGCCUCCAAUGGCGUCGGCGUGCCCCCGCCCCAUCUUCCUCUCCUUCCCCAAAUCCCCGUCCCCGCCGCUCGCCGUCCCCGGAAAGCACCACCCGUCCGCCACCGCCACCGCCUCCCUCUCCCUCUCCACCCGCGCGCGCGCCGCCCCUUCCAGCGCUCCGUCCCCUUCGCCGCCGCCGUCUCCUCCCGCGGACGGAGUCGGCCCCGCGGCGCCGACGCGGGGCGACGUGUACCUGGGGCGGCAGCUCGCGGCCGCGGCCACGGCGGGCGCCCGCGCGCGCGCGCCGGAGGAGGACGCCGAGAGGCGCCGCCGCCGCAAGGAGAAGCGGAAGGCGCUGGCCAAGAAGACGCCCUCCGGCGUCGCCUGCUGCUACGGCUGCGGCGCCCCGCUGCACACCGGCGAGGAGGGCUCCCCCGGCCACGUCGAGCCCGCCACCUACGACCUGAAGAAGAGGCACAACCAACUAAAAACCGUGCUAUGCGGGCGGUGCAAGCUGCUGUCGCACGGGCACAUGGUGACCGCCGUCGGCGGCCAUGGCGGUUAUCCGGGGGGCAAGCAGUUUGUUUCGGCCGAAGAGCUAAGGGAGAAGCUGUCGUACCUCCGCCACGAGAAAGCAUUGAUAGUGAAACUCGUUGACAUAGUUGACUUCAAUGGAAGUUUCCUGGCACGCAUACGCGAUUUUGCCGGCGCCAAUCCCAUUGUGCUUGUGAUAACAAAGGUUGAUCUCCUUCCUAGAGACACAGAUUUGAAUUGUAUCGGCGAUUGGGUCGUGGAGUCUGUUGUUAGGAAGAAACUCAAUGUCCUUAGCGUCCAUUUGACAAGUUCAAAGUCAUUGGUCGGCAUCACUGGUGUUAUAUCAGAGAUUCAGCAGGAAAAGAAGGCCCGAGAUGUAUAUAUACUGGGUUCAGCAAAUGUUGGGAAAUCUGCAUUUAUUAGUGCUAUGCUAAAAACAAUGGCAUAUAAAGAUCCAGUGGCAGCUGCAGCUCAAAAAUACAAGCCAAUACAAUCUGCUGUUCCUGGAACAACCUUAGGUCCUAUUCAGAUCGAAGCAUUUUUAGGAGGAGGGAAAUUAUACGACACACCUGGAGUCCAUCUUCACCAUAGACAGGCAGCAGUUAUCCACGCUGAUGAUCUGCCUUCUCUUGCACCACAAAGUCGACUAAAGGGGCGAUGUUUUCCUGCUAAUGAUACAGAUGUUGGAUUGAGCGGGAAUACGUUGUUCUGGGGGGGACUUGUCCGUAUCGAUGUUGUUAAGGCUCUUCCACGCACACGGCUAACAUUCUAUGGACCAAAGAAGCUAGGUAUUAAUAUGGUCCCCACCACAGAAGCAGAUGAAUUUUACAAGAGAGAAGUCGGAGUUACAUUGACUCCCCCAACUGGUCAGGAGAGAGCUGAAGGAUGGUGUGGGCUUCAGGGUGUUCGCGAAUUGCAGAUAAAAUAUGAAGAGCUUGAUAGGCCUGCUAGUGACAUUGCGAUAUCUGGACUCGGGUGGAUCGCGGUUGAACCACUUGGUGUGCCAUCUAGCGACCCUGAUAGUAGCAUCGAGGAAGAAAAUGGUGGCAGUGGCGAGUUGCAUUUAAGAGUACGUGUACCCAAACCAGUCGAGGUCUUCGUCCGCGCCCCACUGCCAGUCGGUAAAGCGGCGUCGCAGUGGUACCGGUACCAGGAGCUGACGGAGGUAGAAGAGGAGCUGAGACCCAAGUGGCAUUACUGAUGCUGCGGUUGCCAAAUGCCUAUUUUUGGUCUUUUGUGUAUGCUGCUGGAGCAGCUCUGCGUGAUCCAGUCACGCCCCCGACAUUAUGUUUCUUGGAUGAUCUGAUAGGGAUGGAUUCAUAGUUCUAGCUUAGGAUCAGCUGAUGAGAAUGAUUCAGGAAACCUCCAAUGAAAUGUUGGAGCCCAUCCCACCUUUUUUUGGCUUCUCGUGGAGCUGAUAAUGGCGUGGUUGCGGUCCGGCAGUCCCAAGUGGUGUUGUCCCCGGCGGCGGCCGGAAUGUAUCCCGGCGAAAGCUGCAUUUUCGACCUGAUUGCUUUCUUAGAUCUCGGUCAGGGGUCCUUCCUGCAAUUUACAAGGACUAUGUUGUGAUUUCCUCUCUUUUGAGUCCUCUUAUGAGCUAUAUACUGGCACCACUGUAUGUUUAAUGCAAGCUCUCUAGGUCCUUCGGACCCAUCUUUUGUUAAA
Triticum aestivum (bread wheat) is the source of this 2186-nucleotide RNA transcript. It is a transcript of the gene named putative nitric oxide synthase, with no coding region annotated. The record is from RefSeq and is a predicted model, not a curated record. Lineage: Eukaryota; Viridiplantae; Streptophyta; Magnoliopsida; Poales; Poaceae. The transcript is spliced from 14 exons.